This 481-nucleotide ribosomal RNA is filed under the name uncultured bacterium. RNAcentral describes it as "partial 16S ribosomal RNA". It matches the Rfam family "Bacterial small subunit ribosomal RNA", at positions 30 to 507 of the family's 1533-position model. The record is from RNAcentral.
AUUGAACGCUGGCGGCAUGCCUUACACAUGCAAGUCGAACGGUAACAGGUCUUCGGAUGCUGACGAGUGGCGAACGGGUGAGUAAUACAUCGGAACGUGCCCGAUCGUGGGGGAUAACGGAGCGAAAGCUUUGCUAAUACCGCAUACGAUCUACGGAUGAAAGCAGGGGACCGCAAGGCCUUGCGCGGACGGAGCGGCCGAUGGCAGAUUAGGUAGUUGGUGGGAUAAAAGCUUACCAAGCCGACGAUCUGUAGCUGGUCUGAGAGGACGACCAGCCACACUGGGACUGAGACACGGCCCAGACUCCUACGGGAGGCAGCAGUGGGGAAUUUUGGACAAUGGGCGAAGCCUGAUCCAGCCAUGCCGCGUGCAGGAUGAAGGCCUUCGGGUUGUAAACUGCUUUUGUACGGAACGAAAAGACUCUUUCUAAUAAAGAGGGUCCAUGACGGUACCGUAAGAAUAAGCACCGGCUAACUACGUG